UUCUAAGUAGUUUAAUUAAAAAUGGUGAUUUGUGACGUCACUGAUGUAUUUUAUUACCUUGGGUA
RNAcentral lists this transfer RNA (65 nucleotides) under Matrona basilaris. RNAcentral's name for it is "tRNA-His". The record is from RNAcentral. Lineage: Eukaryota; Metazoa; Arthropoda; Insecta; Odonata; Calopterygidae.